UCCAUUUUAUUAAGUUAGUUUGAUUUAAACAAAGAUUAUUUUUGAGCUCUAAUUUGGUCCAUGAAUUGGUCCAUAACUUUAACCUAAUUCUUUAUUGUAUAUAUACUAACUGAACCCUAUUUUGAAAAGGAGGGAGCACACUGUAAAUAUUACACGGUUUCAAUUCCACCAUUUUUUGUCGCUCACGCAAAAAUCAUUCAAUCACCAAAACUCAUGAGGCAUAACCACUCCCAAUUGUCACCAUCAAAGCCAAACCUUCAAAACACUAAACUACUUUCCCAUCACAAUAUUAUCAUAAAUUCAAAACCAAACUUCACUCAUAAGUCCUUCAGCACCGAUCCAAGAAUAACACAGCAUGUUCAUACAACAAUCAACACAACAACAAAAAUCUGACGAAAUUGUGUUCUUUUUAAGUUUGUUUUGUUUUCAGGAAAAAUACAAAAGGAUGAGAACCGUUUCACGAAACCAAAUCCGCAACGUUGAUGCUCGAAGCUUCAUUCACGCUGUCAAUCGCUGCCGCUCCAUUCGACAAUUGACGGAAAAGAUUAGGAACAAAGAAGAAGAGCAACCACGGCACCACGCUCCGAUCAUAGAUCCCAACCGACGACCGAUACACCACCACCUAGCCACCACGUUGAAAUUUCAGAACGGCAAUACCAACCGCCGGACGAAACCGCACGGUUGACGACAACAGCACAACAAGACGGUUCUAACAACACCGACAUCCCGACCAAUAGCUCACGAUGUCUUCUCCACCAUUGCGCAUCCUACUUCUGUUGUGCCAUCUCCGCUCUGUUCACAAUCACCGCCAUCAUUACAAGUAAAUACUCAUUCCGAUGAUUGACUGUGUUGCUAUGUCUAUUUUGUUCAAGUGUUAUUUAGGGGCAGAGCUGAGUUUUUCUUAAGAGAAAGUGUCUUUAGAGAAAGAUGAAACUGUGUACUGGCGUUUUAUUUUUCUUUUUCUAUUUUGUCAAAGUAAUAGAUUUUGCUCUAUUUUACUAUAAAAAAGGUAAAACUGUCAAAAGAGUGUUGUGUGAUGUGAAGAAGUGUAGGCCUCGUUCCUGUUCAUUCUACUUUGAAUUUUCUUUUCUCAUUCACUUUUGCUAAAAUAUUAACAUAGUUUCUAGGUUCUAUUGUUAUAUAAUAUAAUGCUUUGCUAUUUAAAUUUCUCAAUGGUGUGACGUUCUUGUUAUAUAUAAUUAGUUUACAUAAUUUUUUUUGACUUAUACAUAAAUCAUAAUAACAAAAAUAUUAUAAUUUAGAUUUUCUUUCUUUAAUAUAAAAAACACCAAAAAUAUUUGUUUUAAUCUUAAUAUUUCCUUUUUUAGAUUUUAAUAUGGCUAUUUUUUUUAAGAUUUUUUCUUUAAUCAAUUCUCAUUUUAUUUCUCGGUACUCCCAUUUUCUUGUUUAUUGCGAGGUACAUUCGAGCUGCUUAUCUAUUCUCGUGGAUAUUCGCAAAUUCAUCCUCAAUCUUCUCCACUGGAUCUCGCCAAUUCCAUCUAAAGGACCAGAAUGUGCUACGAAGCUAAGUCCCGAUUUAACCCUUAUUUAAAUAUUUGUUAUUUUAUUUAAAAUUAAGGUUUAUCUUUAAAUAUAAUGAACUCCGCCUACACUCAAUUCUUGUUUGCCUUUGCUCUGCCAAUUUUUUCAGGGUUAACCCCGAGUACUCCCGACUACGAACCAUAUCAGAUCAAAUCCAAAGCUAAGUUUUGUUCAUAUUUAUUUAAUUUCUUUUUGCCAUUUUUUUAAAAAUUAGGGUUAACCUUAUUUGUCAUUGAACUGAUAAUGCACUCGCCCCUAUUUUCUGUUUAUUUCUCCCUUUCCCACCUUUUCAGGGUUUGCCAACCGCCAAAGCUCAAAUAGUCGGUAACCCUAAACUCUAAUCUCUCUUAUUUUUCUGCCUUAAUUAUUACUUAUGCCAAACCCUAUUGCACCAUGAACCCGCUGGCUUCAUUCUCCCUUUCCCCCGCUGGUUUCUUUUUCCCCUUCCCCAUAUUGCUUUAAUUAUAUUGUUUAUAUUUUUGCAUGGUUAGUAAUCUUAGGGAGUGCAAGCUGUAAUUAAUAUAGAAUCACCUAAUUACAAGAUAAAUAAUUGAAUUUAAUCACGUGAUUGUUGCACCCACGCACACUUUUUGGUAACCCUUUUUGUUGCCUAUUGCCUUAUUGCCUUGUUUUUUUGCAGAAUAGCCAUGUCCCUUGAAUACGAGGAUACCUCAGCCAUGUUGCCUCGACUAAUGCAAAGAUCAUAAGUCCCUAAUGAUGCUGCCUUCGAUACACAAAUAUGAUCUCGUCCCUCGGAAGUUGCCUACGAAAGAGAAUAGUGAAAAAGCAAAGGGGGAAGAUACGACGCAUCAGCCCCACAUCCGAUGAACUCAGCCGCAAACAACCGAAGAGUGGGAAGAGAUUCAAAGUCGAAUCGGCAUCGGAUCCGGUCAGUCACAACGCGAUCUCGACGUCGCCGCAAAAUCAUCAACGACGCAGCCGCUAACCGCUUUGAAGACUAUCGCGUGAAACAUUCCUCGCCGAUGCGGAAGCACAUCGUCGAACCAUGCUCUCCACUAGCUCCAAACGGUGCCGAAGAACACCGCUCAGAUCUGCCAAAGCCCCUCGAACCACCACUCCACUUUCAAAUUCGCUUCCCGACGCCGUUGUGUCCGGUAACCUUUUCUUUUAUGGAUUAAUCUGCAUCUGUUUUGAAUUGUUUCAUUGUUUGUGUGUGAAAUUAAAACAAUAUAAACAUUGUUGUUGUUGUCUUUUGAAA
Long non-coding RNA from Vicia villosa (hairy vetch), 2761 nucleotides. RefSeq lists it as uncharacterized. The record is from RefSeq and is a predicted model, not a curated record. NCBI's taxonomy places the organism in Eukaryota, Viridiplantae, Streptophyta, Magnoliopsida, Fabales, Fabaceae. The transcript is spliced from 2 exons.